CGCGGGAAAACGUCACUUCCGCCCGCGGCGUCACGUCCGCGAGGCUCCCGGGCCCGCCGGCGUCUGUGGGGAACUGGGGCGCUGGUCGGUGCGCGGGCUGGGACGCUAAGUCAUGAGGAAUUAAACUGGGAAACCUGGCGUGGGUCCAGGCGCCUUCCAGGAGGCAUCCGGCGCGGCCCGGACGUGCUUCUACCCAGAACCACCCCCUCCAGGCCGGGGUGCACUUAACGGGGCUAUACAAAGAGUCUGGUGGGUGACUGUGGGCCUCAUCCCUAUCCCGGGGUCUGAUAGGGAAGACUCUCGGGCCCCGCAGGGAAUAUCUGGCUAGUGCACCCUCGGCGGGAGCGCCACUCUCCCUCCUUGGGCGGCGCCCCCCACCUCUCAUCCCGCCCAAUCCGUUUUGCAAAGUCGGCCAAAACAAAAACAAACUUGGAGCGCUGAUAGACACUGUUAUUGCCCAUCUGAACUCGUCAACUGAGAAGGAAAGAGAUGGUUUAUGCUGUGAAUAAAAUACAGUUGUGCUGUGAUGUAAAUCCCCUCAUCCUGGAGCAGCUGAGCAAGGUCUAAGGCAGGAAGAACCUUCAAGCAGGUCAUGGCUGUAAGCCUCCUGAGUUUAUCCCAGCAAGUUGUAUAAGGGAUUAUCUUUUUAUCUGCAUAUUAUGACAUAUGUGAGGAUGUGUAAAGGUUUGGCAAGCACUGGCCUACUCAACAGCCAGUCCUACCUAACUUCAGAAAUCUUUCUUGUGGGCAAAUGUCAGGAGAUAGGGCCCAGGCCCAGGUCCAGCUACAAAGAAUGAAUACAAUUAAAGUGCUACUUCCAUUCACCUCACCCCAGAUUAGUUUAGGCAAGAGCUCAGGAUGCAGUUUUGACAUUUGAAAGAUAAGGAGUAGUCUGCUGGGAGCCUGAUAAAUUGAAACAGGGAUGGCACAGUUCUAAAUAUUAUUAAAUAAUAGUAAUAAUAUUAAGUAUUACUGAGGAUGUGACACUUCUGAUUGCUGCAGCCAUUGUAACGUGAGGCAAGCCAACCUACAGAGAAGGUAGAAAUGCUGAUAUUGGUGCAGGAGGAAUUUCAAAAGAAUCUGGAUCCUCAGUGUUAUAAAUGAGCCUCUGAUUUGGCCAGCCCUGGAGCUGACCUAAGCUGAGCUGAGGUUUUCACUUGUUUGCAACAGAAAGCAUCAUGACUGAUAAUGUUUCUCCUGUGCUUAUCUUCAGGAUAGAGACCAAAUCUUGGGUAUCAUCAUUGCCUUAGUACCUAGCACAGUGUUACACACACAGUAAAUGCUUGCUUACUAAAAGUAGGGAUGGCAGGAAAGUGAAGGAAAGUUCUAGGAACUGAAGUAAACUCUCUUCAUACGUAGAUAUCACUUGCUUUAUUUAAAACCAGUUUAUCAACAUCUAGAUUACAUUUAUGUAAUCUAGAUUUAUUUAUUACCAUAUUACAAUUAUGAUAAAGAGAUUUCUCAAUUUACAAAAGAAUAUAUGUCUUGACCAUGGAUUAAUUUAACUAUGUUCACUAGUAUGUAAAAUAUAUUUUCCUGCAGCCAUAAAAAGGAAUGAGAUCAUGUCCUUUGCAGGAACAUGGAUGGAGCCAGAAGCCUUUAUCCUCAGCAAACUAACGCAGGAACAGAAAACCAAACACUGCAUGUUCUCACUUAUAAGUGGGAGCUAAACAAUGAGAACACAUGGACAUGAAGAGGGGAACAACACACACUGGGGGAUUACUUGAGGGUGUAGGGUGAGAGGACAGAAGAUCAAAAAACUACCUAUCAGGUACUACACUUGUUACCUGGGUGGUGAAAAAAUCUGUACACACCAAACCCCAGAGACACACAGUUUACCUAUAUAACAAACUUGCACAUGUAUCCCUAAACCUAAAAUAAUAGUUUGAAAAAAGUGUGGUGUAUAUAUCAUAAUAUAUACACAUAAAUAGAUACACACACACACACACACACACACACACACACACACAUACACACAUACAUACCAUAAAAUAGACCCAGGAAGGGGAACAACACACACUGGGGCCUGUAGCGGGGAAGGGUGGGGAGAGGGAGAGCAUCAGGAGAGCUAAUGGAUGCUGGGCUUAAUACCAUGGUGAUGGGUUGAUCUGUGCAGCACACCACCAUAGCACACAUUUACCUGUGUAACAAACCUGCACAUCCUACACAUAUACCUGGGAGCUUAAAAGUUGAAGGAAAAAAUAAUAAAAUAUAUUUUCAUCCACACAACUCAGAAGCAAUUGAGUUCACCAUCAAAAUCUUUAGUUUUCUGUUGCAUUACCAAAGAAGUAUUAGAAUUUCGGCAGAGUCUAGACCAGGUACGGUGGCUCACGCCUGUAAUCCCAGCAGUUUGGGAGGCCAAGGCGGGUGGAUCACCUGAGGUCAGGAGUUUGAGACCAGGCUGGCAAACAUGGUGAAACCACAUCUCUACCAAAAAUACGAAAUUAGCUGAGUGUGGUGGCAGGUGCCUGUAAUCCCAGCUACUCUGGAGGCUGAGGCAGGAGAAUCACUUGAACCCAGGAGGCAGAGGUUGCAGUGAGCUGAGAUCAUGCCACUGCACUCCAGCCUAGGCGACAAGAGCAAGACCCCAUCUCAAAAAAUAUAUAUAUAUAUAUAUAUAUAUAUAUAUAUAUAUAUUUCAGCAGAGUCUUAAAAAAAUUCCCCCUGAACUUCUUGAAAUUCAUGGAUCUCUUCCAACCUGCUUGGUAAUUUUAAGAAGAUUGCUGUAAGACUCCUACAAAAAAUAUAUGUAUUUCUUAGAUUUUCUAUCUAGAGAGGGAACUCUCUUCAGUUUGAGACUCCUUCAGUGAUAUUAAAAUUUGGGGAAGGGUCUAAAAAGUCUUCAUCGUUCUAAAAAGCCUUCCUUCAAAGUUUUUAUACCCCCAAGCUACCACACUAUUUCCAUUUCUUAACCAUCUAGCUUCUUAGAAGGGUAGUCCCCAUUGGUUCUCUCUGCUUCCCCAAUUUCUCAGCCUGCUGGCCCCUGGCUUUCUUUCACUACCACCAAGAGCCCCCUUCUGAAAUCACUCUUUCAAAUGUCACUGAUGAUAGUUGUCAAUCCCAUGGCUUCUUUUGGUCCUCAACCUACUUGACCUUUCUUGCAGUCAAUAUAGUUAACCACUUCCUCUUAAAAAUUCCCUAGUCUUCCACAAAUCUAUGGUCUCCUUGUUCUCCUCCCUUGUUACUUCACAAAUUCCUUCAUUAGUUCUCUUUCUGCCGGUCCCUUCAAUGCAAGUGCUCCCUAGAGUAAUGCUACUCAAAGUGUAGUUCUUGGACCAGUGACAGUCUGCGAACUGUUUGUGUUUAGUCCACAAGGAAAUAAGUACAGAAAUUAAAAGGAUAAGUGCUUAGCAGUGUUUAUAUCAAUUUGACAUUUCAGGAAUAUCCGAGUGCAUGAUCAUUGGACAUUGCUUGUUAAACAGUUCAGGUAUUCUUCAACCUGGUUCUUGAGUUGCAGGUGGCAUGGUUGUGUCCCUGUCAUAUGCAAUAGUACGAUAUUACAAUGAGUAAAAUUUCAAGGUUUGUCACCUGCAACCCAAGAGUAAAAAUCUAUGAAAAUGUAAAUAUUUAUUUACUUAUAUAACUUGUUAUUUUUACAAUCAUUUUCAUUUUUAAUCAAGCCUAUUUUUUGUAAAUUCUUAGCUAAAUUAGGGGAGUAAAAUUUGUGUCAUUUGUUUUUAACCCUAAAUUAUAGAUGGCAAAACAAUCCUUACUGUCCAAUUUUGCCAAUACAAGACACACAUCAGUAAUGUGUUAGUAAUCACAGUAGUAAACUAAAUAAUGAUCAGAGAAGUAAUUCCAAAGAAUUAAACAAAUAGGAGUUUGUACUAAUUUUACUCAGAAGUAUAAUCCCUUGUUAUUGAGUUUGUAGCCAUAACUCAUAGUGAAGUGCUAAAAUCAUUACAGACUAAUGAAACAAUAAAGCCAUCAAACUUAAAGGACAUUUAUAUACAAAAUAUUAAAAAACUAAUUAUAAAUUUGAUAAAAUAUCUGAGUAUUUUCUAUCAAAACAAGCUCCACAUGCAAGAAAUUCAUGGAUCCAAAAUCCGUUUAUUUCAUUGAAAGAUAACUUGAGUGACAGUUUUUGAAACUGGCUACUGAUGAAAGAUUGAAGAUGAAUUUUGAAAAUAACGCAUUGUUUCCAUCAUUAAGGAUAAAAGUUAAAAGUGAUUAUCCUGAUAUUGUUAAAUUGCUUUAAGUCUUCUUCUGUUCCCUUCAACAUAUUUUUGAGAGACUAGUUUUUCUACUACUAGUGUUGUUAAAAUAAAAUAUAAAAACAAUUUAGAUAUACAUCAUCUCCUGCAAGUAGCAUGUCACCAAUCCAACCUAGAUUAGAUAAUUUAACAAGCAAAGAGCCCACUCAUUUCUCACAUUAAAACUUCAAAUAUUAACAUUCAUGUUGUUUAGUGGGAAAUUACUACUUCACUCCCAACUUUUUGUUAGUUGUUACGGCUGUGAGGUGAUAAAUAUUAGGAGGAUAAUGGCAAUUCUCUUUAUUAAUUAUCUAUCUGGACACUUUCAAUAAGCAAUGUACAUUUUGUAAUUUUUUCUUUUAUUUAUGUUUGUUCUGAUAAUUUUUAUUGAAAUGUAAUUCUAUUUCUGUUUAAUCUAAAAAAUGUGAGCUUGUACAAUAUUUGGUGUGCCUCUGUUUUCAUUAUAAUUUUUUGCAAUUUGUUUCUAUUUUACAUUCCAAAGUGUUAAUAUCACUUCAUGACAAACAGUUAAUGAAAAAGAAUGAAAAGUUCCUUCACAGAUAGUGUGGGAAACACUGGUCUUCAAGCGUCUUCAAUCCUCCUCUCUUCUUGCUCUAUUUCAAUCCCAUGACUUAAAUAACUUCCCAUAUGUGCAUGUUAGAUUCUUUCAGGUUUCAAGGAACAGAGACCUGUUCAGUUUAUCUGAAUUAUUCAAGGUUAAUAAUAAGGUCUGGGAGGAAAAGUAAAGAAAACAAAAAAGAACCCCUGCUGUUCCACUCAUGUAUCUUUUCAUCCCCCAGCAGCAGACUCCACUCCUUCCCGCCAUUGUGAAUAUUAUCAUCUUCAUCUUUUUAUACUGUACUACUUCUGCUACACUGACCUUCUCUCCAUGCCACCAAACCACACUCCUAAGUGCAGAGAAUAUGAUUGAUUCUCCUACUAUACCAAUUUCCAUGAGCAGGACCAAUUACAUAAUUUGCAGGGUCCAGAGGAAAAAAAAUGCAGAACUCCUCAUUGAAAAAUUACUAAGAAUUUCAAGAUGGUGGCAACAGAGCAUUAAACCAACCACAGGGUCUUUCUAACAUGGAGAACUAAGUGACUACACAGGCUACAUGUCCACGAAGCCAGACAGUCUCUGAAGUGCAGGCUCAACUCUGCCUGGCAGUGGCAAGGGCCAGGGCCAGUGACUGAAGCAACAAACUGCCAGAUGACUGCAGCUCAAGCCAAUGCACAAAGCCACUGCAACAAGAGAGGAAAUUCUUCCAUUUCCAAGUGUGUCGAUUUCUCCCCAUCAAGGAAAACAGCUAAGGCAAUGUGUUGAUAUUUUCUUUGACCAAGUCAUCAGGAGUCACAUAGACAUACAGCACUCAAGAAGUGGCUGUAACUAAAGGCACAUCUCGUUCAUCUACAACCCUUGUAAUCCCAACCUUUGUCUGAUGCACAAACCCUUCCCUAGUUCUCCCCACCACCACCACUGCACCUCCAAGUGGGGACAACGAAUUGUUUCAUUUGCAUGUGGUUUUUCUCAUGAAAAAUAUCAUUAACAUGAGACAGCCCCAAACCAAGGAAACCAGAAGUGGGGUUUGUGCUUGGUCUUACUGAGAGCUUUCCCUACUUGACCAGACCCCAGCAUUGUUCUAGAUUUGUCUCUUGUGGGCUACAGGAAUGCAAACAUUUUGUAGUUUCCUCUUUUUUGUUUUCUUAAUGGCUUGAUGAGCCACACAUGUUUCUCUAAAUGCAUGAUUUUAAAUUCACACAAUUUCUGCCAACUAAACUUAAUGCAUUCUCCUCCUCUUCUAAUCAAUAAGGGCUAUCAGAAUGUUUUGGGUGAAGAUGAGCGGAAGGUAAGAAAUUACAUACUGUGGGCCAGGUUUGGUGACUCACAUCUGUAACCCCAGCACUUUGAGAGACCAAGGCAUGCAGAUCGCUUGAGGCCAGGAGUUCAAGACCAGCCUGGCCAACAUGGCGAAAUCCUAUCUGUACUAAAAAUACAAAAAUUACCCAGGCGUGAUGGCUCAUGCCUGUAGUCCCAGCCACUCAGGAGGCUAAGGCAAGAGAAUCACCUGAACCCAGGAAGUGGAGUUUGCAGUGAGCUGAGAUCACGCCACUGGACUCCAGCCUGGGCAACAGAGUGAGACUCUGUCUCAAAAAAAAAAAAAAAUUACAUACUGUCGAGUAUGACCUAAAAACAUAGAGAGACUAUAUUUCAAUAGUAUGACAGGAUUAUGUUAGCUGCUAAUAACAGAACCCAAAAUAACAAUAGAUUAAAUAAAAGAUUAGUAUCCCAGGUAAAAGUCUAGAGGUAGGAAUUCUAGGACUAAGUGAAGGUUCUGCUCAGUGAAGUCCUCAGGGACACAGGCACCUUCAGCUCAUAACUCUAUCAUCCCUGGAGGGUACUUAAGGGUCCAGGAUGGCAGCCAAAAGUCGUACCUACGUUUUAAACAGCAGGGUGCUGGAAGGCAUAAAGAAAAAGCCAGAGGCACACGCCUGUUCUCACUUAAGGAAAAUUCCUGGAAACUGCCACAAUACACCUUCGCUUACAUCCCAUUGAUCAAAACGUGGAUGCAAAGCCACACCUUACUGUGGGGUACAGGGAAAAAAAACUUUUUUUGACAAUCAUGAGUUCAUUAACAGAAUUCAGGGAUCUCUUAAUACAGAAGCAAGGGAGAACAGCUGUUGGGGGACCACCGGAAGUCUCUGCUCUAAAGAACAAUGUAAAUACCUGGUGGUAGACUAACACUGAUGGCCUACAAUGAAUCACACCUACUGACAUUCAUGCCUUUGUGCAGAGUUCCACACUGAUGCUGGGCUUGGCCUUGUGACUUGUUUGGCCAAUAGGAUCUCAGCAAGCACCUUGAUAAGUGCUUGUGCAUUAGGGCUUGCUGUCCUGAAAUCCAGGUGCCAUGUAAGAAGUGUGGGUUAGUCCCUAUGAAGAUGACAGACCACAUGGAGAAAGAGGCUGAGCCUAUACCCACCCACCUACCAGAGAAGAUCAGCAGAAGAACCAGUGAAUCAUUAUUGCUUUAGUCAUUAAUUUGGGGGCAAUUUGUUAUACAGCGAUAGAUAAGUGGUACAGUACAUAGACAAAUUUCUGCAGUUCAUCGAGCAUUAGCACCAAAUAAGUAUACAACAGUGUUUGGAGCACUAAAGAGAGUAUAAAAUAUUGCUUAAAAUUGUUUCCUUGGCCUCAUGAAACAGAAAUCGGCUCUGAUUAGCAACCAAAAAAUGAGAAUUUAUUGGAAGA
RNAcentral lists this long non-coding RNA (7437 nucleotides) under Homo sapiens (human). RNAcentral describes it as "HSALNT0201501". Lineage: Eukaryota; Metazoa; Chordata; Mammalia; Primates; Hominidae. The record is from RNAcentral.